RNAcentral lists this ribosomal RNA (497 nucleotides) under uncultured bacterium. RNAcentral describes it as "partial 16S ribosomal RNA". It matches the Rfam family "Bacterial small subunit ribosomal RNA", at positions 28 to 507 of the family's 1533-position model. The record is from RNAcentral.
GAUGAACGCUGGCGGCGUGCCUAAUACAUGCAAGUCGAGCGAACAGAUGAGGAGCUUGCUCCUCUGACGUUAGCGGCGGACGGGUGAGUAACACGUGGAUAACCUACCUAUAAGACUGGGAUAACUUCGGGAAACCGGAGCUAAUACCGGAUAAUAUAUUGAACCGCAUUGUUCAAUGGUGAAAGACGGUUUUGCUGUCACUUAUAGAUGGAUCCGCGCCGCAUUAGCUAGUUGGUAAGGUAACGGCUUACCAAGGCGCCGAUGCGUAGCCGACCUGAGAGGGUGAUCGGCCACACUGGAACUGAGACACGGUCCAGACUCCUACGGGAGGCAGCAGUAGGGAAUCUUCCGCAAUGGGCGAAAGCCUGACGGAGCAACGCCGCGUGAGUGAUGAAGGUCUUCGGAUCGUAAAACUCUGUUAUUAGGGAAGAACAAAUGUGUAAGUAACUAUGCACGUCUUGACGGUACCUAAUCAGAAAGCCACGGCUAACUACGUG